AUGGCGGCGGUGCAGCAGUACACGGUGGCGCUCUUCCUCUCCGUCGCCCUCGUGGCGGGGCCGGCCGUCUCCUACGCCGCCUACGCCCCCGGCGCCCCGGCCACCCCCGCCGCCCCAGGGACCCAGCCCAAGGCGACGACUCCGGAGCAGAAGCUGAUGGAGGAUAUCAACAACGGCUUCAAGGCGGCCGUGGCGGCCGCAGCCGCCGUCCCUCCGGCCGACAAGUACAAGACGUUCGAGGCCACCUUCAGCGCGGCUUCUAACAAGGCAUUCGCAGAUGUCCUCAAGGCCGCCGCCUCCGGCCAGAUGGCCGCCCAGUCAGCCUCCAUGGCCUCACUCUCCAAGAGCCUCGAAGCCUCCUACAAGCUCGCCUACGACAAAGCCCAGGGCGCCACCCCCGAGACCAAGUACGACACCUACGUCGCCAGUCUCACCGAGUCGCUCCGCGUCAUCUCCGGCGCCUUCGAGAUCCACUCCGUCAAGCCCGCCGCCGAGGAGGUCAAGGGGAUCCCCGCCCCCCAGCUCAAGACCAUCGACCAGAUCGACGCCGCCUACAGGAGCGCCGCCACCGCCGCCGACGCUGCCCCGGUCAACGACAAGUUCACCGUCUUCGAGUCCACCUUCAACAAGGCCAUCAAGGAGACCACGGGCGGCGCAUACGACAACUACACGUUCGUCCCCGCCCUUGAGUCUGCCGUCAAGCAGGCCUACGCCGCCACCGUCGCCUCCGCGCCCGAGGUAAAGUACGCCGUCUUUCAGGCCGCCCUGAGCAAGGCCAUCAAUGCCAUGGUUGAAGCCGAGAAGGAUGCCAAGCCCGCUGCCGCUGGCGCCGGCGCCGCUGCCGGUGGCUACAAAGCCUGA
RNAcentral lists this ribosomal RNA (861 nucleotides) under Triticum aestivum (bread wheat). Its description in RNAcentral is "partial small subunit ribosomal RNA". The record is from RNAcentral. Lineage: Eukaryota; Viridiplantae; Streptophyta; Magnoliopsida; Poales; Poaceae.